RNAcentral lists this ribosomal RNA (429 nucleotides) under bacterium. RNAcentral's name for it is "partial 16S ribosomal RNA". It matches the Rfam family "Bacterial small subunit ribosomal RNA", at positions 355 to 776 of the family's 1533-position model. The record is from RNAcentral.
UGGGGAAUCUUCCGCAAUGGACGAAAGUCUGACGGAGCAACGCCGCGUGAGUGAUGACGGCCUUCGGGUUGUAAAGCUCUGUUAAUCGGGACGAAUGGUUCUUGUGCAAAUAGUGCGAGGAUUUGACGGUACCGGAAUAGAAAGCCACGGCUAACUACGUGCCAGCAGCCGCGGUAAUACGUAGGUGGCAAGCGUUGUCCGGAAUUAUUGGGCGUAAAGCGCGCGCAGGCGGAUUGGUCAGUCUGUCUUAAAAGUUCGGGGCUUAACCCCGUGAUGGGAUGGAAGCUGCCAAUCUAGAGGAUCGGAGAGGAAAGUGGAAUUCCUAGUGUAGCGGUGAAAUGCGUAGAUAUUAGGAAGAACACCAGUGGCGAAGGCGACUUUCUGGACGAAAACUGACGCUGAGGCGCGAAAGCCAGGGGAGCGAACGGG